GCCCAGGUAGCUCAGUCGGUAGAGCAGCGGACUGAAAAUCCGCGUGUCGGUGGUUCGAAUCCGCCCCUGGGCACCA
This 76-nucleotide transfer RNA is filed under the name Alphaproteobacteria bacterium. RNAcentral describes it as "tRNA-Phe". It matches the Rfam family "tRNA". From Rfam's summary of the family: Transfer RNA (tRNA) molecules are approximately 80 nucleotides in length. Their secondary structure includes four short double-helical elements and three loops (D, anti-codon, and T loops). Lineage: Bacteria; Pseudomonadati; Pseudomonadota; Alphaproteobacteria. The record is from RNAcentral. RNAcentral also lists the same sequence under 1 other name.